This 522-nucleotide ribosomal RNA is filed under the name uncultured Glomus. Its description in RNAcentral is "SSU rRNA". It matches the Rfam family "Eukaryotic small subunit ribosomal RNA", at positions 569 to 1092 of the family's 1831-position model. The record is from RNAcentral. Lineage: Eukaryota; Fungi; Glomeromycota; Glomeromycetes; Glomerales; Glomeraceae.
AGCAGCCGCGGUAAUUCCAGCUCCAAUAGCGUAUAUUAAAGUUGUUGCAGUUAAAAAGCUCGUAGUUGAAUUUCGGGGUUAGUAGGUUGGUCAUGCCUCUGGUAUGUACUGGUCUCACUGAUUCCUCCUUCCUGAUGAGCCGUAAUGCCAUUAAUUUGGUGUUGCGGGGAAUUUGGACUGUUACUUUGAAAAAAUUAGAGUGUUUAAAGCAAGCUAACGCUUGAAUGCAUUAGCAUGGAAUAAUGAAAUAGGACGUUCGAUCCUAUUUUGUUGGUUUCUAGGAUUGACGUAAUGAUUAAUAGGGAUAGUUGGGGGCAUUAGUAUUCAAUUGUCAGAGGUGAAAUUCUUGGAUAUAUUGAAGACUAACUACUGCGAAAGCAUUUGCCAAGGAUGUUUUCAUUAAUCAAGAACGAAAGUUAGGGGAUCGAAGACGAUCAGAUACCGUCGUAGUCUUAACCAUAAACUAUGCCGACUAGGGAUCGGAUGAUGUUAAUUUUUUAAUGACUCAUUCGGCGCCUUACG